UUGGCAUGUGUAUGAAGCAAAUGCAUGGUUGAAAAAAGUGAUUAACGGUUCGUAUACAAUGUAGUAAUGUGGCCCAUCUUAGGAGUAAUAUGGUUCACAUUUCGCUCAUGUCUAGUAUGUUGGCAUGUGUAUUUGCAAACACGAGUAACCUUCACAUUUUGUUUUGGAUUUGUCUUCUUCACCUGUUGAUUCUGUUUAAGGAAACCUAUAUUUAGAUAUAGGCUGAUUUUUUCUCUCUUUUCAUGGAACCAAUUUUUUUUUUUUUUUUUCUUUGUAAUUUUUCUAUGUUUGUUGACAGUUUAUCUUGUUUGGAGACCCUUUUGAAUUUAAAAUGAACUUUUCUUUUAUGGACUAAUUGUUUGGUGGGGUUGAAUGAAUUUAACACUUUUUGUGUCACAUACAGGGUGUUUGGACGCACCAUGGAUUUGAAUUGAGUUACAAUUACUAGUCUAAUGAACUGGAAAUUGUUGAAGGAGUAAAUAACCAAAUGUAAUUUCCUUAGCAUUCAGAGCAAGGGCCUAGCUCCAAAUUGCAAUUGCAUGACUUUCAAGAAUCCAAUCAAUAUCAUGGUUUUCAAAUUUUAUAAUUACUUCAUUUGGCAAAAUCAGAUUUAUUGUCUUGCUUUUUGAUGAAAUGGGCCUUCAACUUUUCAUAUUGUUCUUGAUCUUGCAGGGGUGUUCAAAACCAUGCACGCAAAACCCAAGAGGAGAACUGUUACGGAGAAUGGCAAUGGUGGCGACGAAUCGGCCAUUGCCACUUUGAUAGGGAAUGGGGAGGAUGUAGGUCCCAUCGUCCGGCAUGCGUUUGAAAUCGGAAAGCCUGAGACCCUCUUGCACCAGCUUAAGAUUGUCGGGAAGAAGAAGGAGGUCGAGAUCGAGGAGCUUUGUAAGCUACAUUAUGAGGAGUUCAUUGUUGCGGUCGAUGAGCUGCGAGGCGUCUUGGUUGAUGCUGAUGAGCUGAAGAAUGCGCUCUCAGGCGAGAAUUUUCGGCUCCAAGAUGUCGGGAGCUCUCUUCUCGUAAAGCUCGAAGAGCUCCUUGAAUCAUCUUCGAUCAAAGAAAACAUAACAGAAGCCAUACAAAUGUCGAAGGUGUGCGUUCAAGUCGCAGACCUGUGUGUGAAGUGCAAUGAACAUGUAUCCAACAGUCGGUUUCACCCUGCAUUGAAGACAUUGGACCUGAUCAAGGACUACUUGCCGAACAUCCCUGUCAAGGCUCUUCGGAAGGUGAUCGAGAAGCAAAUACCAGUGAUAAAAUCACAUAUCGAAAAAAAAGUAAGUAGCGAGUUCAAUGACUGGCUUGUCCAAGUUCGGAGCAAAGCCAGGGAAAUCGGGCAGUCGGCGAUUGGGCAAGCAGCAUCCACUCGCCAAAGAGACGAGGAGAUGCGGGCCCGCCAAAGGGAAGUCGAAGAACAGAGCCGGCUGGGGGAAGGGAAUUGCGUGUACACCUUGGACGUUGAGGAGAUCGAUGAAGACUUGGUUCUCAAGUUCGACCUCACGCCCGUCUAUCGAGCCCACCAUAUCCACACCUGUCUUGGCAUUGAAGAACAGUUUCGUGAUUACUACUAUAAAAAUCGGCUAAUGCAGCUGAAUUUGGACUUGCAGAUCUCAUUGAUGCAGCCAUUCCUCGAAUCCCAUCAGACGUUCUUCUCUCAAAUUGCGGGAUAUUUCAUAGUAGAAGAUCGGGUGUUGCGGACUACGGGCAAUUUGCUGUCAACAAGCCAGGUGGAGACAAUAUGGGAUACGGCCAUCGCAAAAAUGACGUCGGUUUUGGAAGAGAACUUCUCAAAUAUGGAUGCUGCGAGCCAUCUUCUCUUGAUAAAAGACUAUGUCACUCUCCUAUGUGCAACUCUUCGACAGUGCGGGUACCAAGUAACGCCAUUACUUGAGAUUCUUGACAGUAGUAGAAACAAGUACCAUGAGCUUCUUCUUGAAGAAUGUCGGAAGCAAAUGCUUGAUAUUCUCGCAAAUGAUACAUACGAACAAAUGAUAAUGAGGAAAGAGUAUGAAUACAACAUGAAUGUUGUAUCAUUCCAUCUUCAAACUUCGGAUAUGAUGCCAGCUUUCCCGUAUGUUGCACCCUUCUCUUCUUCAGUUCCCGACACAUGCCGCAUCGUACGGUCAUUCAUUGAGGAUUCCGUGAACUACUUAUCAUAUGGGGGGCAGAUGAAUGUUUACGACAUUGUUAAGAAGUAUAUCGACAAGCUCUCAAUUGAAAUUUUGAAUGAGGCUCUAUUGAAUUCGAUCCAUAGUAGCGCCACGGGCGUGUCCCAAGCGAUGCAGAUCGCAGCCAACAUAACUGUUUUUGAGCAGGCUUGUGUCAUUUUCUUGCGGCACGCAGCCCAUCUGUGUGGUAUCCCCGUCCGUGUCGCGGAAAGGCCUCAUGCUAGUUUAGCUGCCCGCACGGCUCUGAAGACUUCACGGGAGGAGGCCUACCACGCAUUAUUGAGACUGGCGAACUCAAAGGUGGAUGAGAUAAUGUCCCUCACUGAAAAUGUCAAUUGGAUUGCCGACGAAGCCCCGCCAAAUGGGAACAAGUACAUAAACGAGCUGGUGAUUUACCUCGACACGUUGAUGUCCACAGCGCAACAAAUCCUGCCAUUGGAUGUAUUGCACAUGAUAGGAACUCAGGCACUAGAGCAUAUCUCUGGCUCCUAUGUGAAUGUUCUUCUCAACGAAAGCAUCAAAAGGUUUAGCAUUAGCGCGAUCAUAGGCAUUGAUAGUGAUUUGAAACGGUUGGAAUCUUUUGCAGAUGAGAGGUGUUACAGUGACGGCUUUAGCGAGGUCCACAAGGAAGGCAAUCUGAGAGAUUGCUUGGUAGAGGCCCGCCAACUGAUGAACCUUCUGUUGAGCAACCAACCUGAGAAUUUCAUGAAUCCUGUGAUAAGGGAGAGACACUACAGGGCAUUGGAUUAUAAAAAGGUGGCCACCAUUUGUGAGAAAUUCAAGGAUGCACCAGAUAGGCUGUUUGGUAGCCUCUCGAACCGGAAUACAAAGCAGAAUGCUCGCAAGAAAUCAAUGGACAUGUUGAAGAAAAGAUUGAGAGAUUUCAAUUAAGACCCAACUGAGUCAGCUCGUGGAGAUUUCGAGCCGGGUACCUGGGAAACUCUAUGCAAUGCGUCUCCAUGACUUGAACCAAGUCAUUCGUCUUAUGAAAGCCAAGAUUUUAUUGAAAAUAUAAGGCAAGAGUGAGAUUUGAAGCUUCAAGCUCAACCAAGCAACCUACACCCUUAAGCAAUUGGAGCGGAGCGGUCUUUCGCAUAUUUGUAACUUCAUGAACGGCUGCUCGAGAUGAACGGUCCAGAUCUUGUCUUGAUUCCAAAUCCACACACGACCUACUUGGAUGAGAACCUGUUCAAUCAUAUGUGAGUGACACCACCUUGGCUAAUACUAAUUGAAGGAUCUUUAGUCGUCCACUGGAAAUGAUUUUUUGCACAUUGAAUGUGGGUUAUUCCUUUUUUCA
Magnolia sinica is the source of this 3459-nucleotide RNA transcript. It is a transcript of the gene named exocyst complex component SEC15A, with no coding region annotated. The record is from RefSeq and is a predicted model, not a curated record. The transcript is spliced from 3 exons. Lineage: Eukaryota; Viridiplantae; Streptophyta; Magnoliopsida; Magnoliales; Magnoliaceae.